AUUUACUUGGUUAUGUCCUCUUUAGGAAAGACAGACUGGCAAGGAGAGAUGGUGGAGUUGCUCUUUAUGUGAGAGAGCAACUAGUAACUGCUGAGAUCCACCUUGGAGUGAAUGAUGAACAACUGGAGAGCUUGUGGGUGAGAAUUAAGGGGCAGGCUAAUACAAGUGACACUGUUGUGGGUGUGUACUACAGGCCGUCUGAUUGGGAGGAGGAAGUUGAUGAGGCUUUCUACAAACAGCUGGAAAUAGCCUUGCAAUCCCCGGCACUGAUUCUCAUGGGGGACUUUAAUCAUCCUACUACUUACUGGAUAAGCAACGUGGCCAGGCACACAUGGUCCAGGUGGUUCCUGCAAUGUGUUGAAGAUAAAUUUCUGAUGCAGCUGGUGGAGGAGCUGACAAGGAGGUUCUUGCUACUUGAUCUUGUUCUUAUCAACAAGGAAGGUCUGGUUGGGGAUGUGAAGGUUGCAAACAGCUUGGGAUGCUGUGAUCAUGAGAUGGUGGAGUUCAUGAUCUCGUUUGGAAGAAGCAAAGCAAUUAGCAGGAUUGACAUUCUGGACUUCAGGAGAGCCAACUUUGUCCUCUUCAAAGACCUGCUUGGAGGAAUCCCAUGGGCUAGAGCCUUAGAAGCUAUGGACACUUGUUAAUCACAUGUCAGAGUCAAACAGAUGUGCCCAGGAUUCAUGCAACUAUUCCAGCAAGUCAGAGCAUGCAAUUUUCUAGCAUCACAGAAUGGCUGGGUUUGGAAGAGACAUUCAAGAUCAGCUGCUUCCAACCCCUGACAUGGGCAGGGCUGCCACCCACAAGAUCACGCUGCCCAGGGCCCCAUCCAACCCGGCCUUGAAUGCCUCUGGAGAUGAGGAAGUCACAGCUUCUCUGGGCAACCUGAGAAAGUAUUCUAGGAAAUUAAUUUAAUCUUUUUCUUGCUCUCCUGGUCUCUUCUAUUCUCCAGCACAUACCAGUGUAAGAAAAAAAUAUACUUUUUUUACU
Molecule: long non-coding RNA, 987 nt
Organism: Gallus gallus (chicken)
Lineage: Eukaryota; Metazoa; Chordata; Aves; Galliformes; Phasianidae
Source: Ensembl